Molecule: transfer RNA, 87 nt
Filed under: Phycisphaerae bacterium
Lineage: Bacteria; Pseudomonadati; Planctomycetota; Phycisphaerae
Also listed under: 1 other name
Description: tRNA-Ser
Rfam family: tRNA
About the family: Transfer RNA (tRNA) molecules are approximately 80 nucleotides in length. Their secondary structure includes four short double-helical elements and three loops (D, anti-codon, and T loops).
Source: RNAcentral
GGAGGCGUGGCAGAGCGGUUGAUUGCGCCGGUUUUGAAAACCGGUUUGGGUGAAAGCCCAACGGGGGUUCGAAUCCCUCCGCCUCCG